Molecule: transfer RNA, 86 nt
Filed under: Deltaproteobacteria bacterium
Lineage: Bacteria; Pseudomonadati; Myxococcota; Myxococcia
Also listed under: 3 other names
Description: tRNA-Leu
Rfam family: tRNA
About the family: Transfer RNA (tRNA) molecules are approximately 80 nucleotides in length. Their secondary structure includes four short double-helical elements and three loops (D, anti-codon, and T loops). Further hydrogen bonds mediate the characteristic L-shaped molecular structure. tRNAs have two regions of fundamental functional importance: the anti-codon, which is responsible for specific mRNA codon recognition, and the 3' end, to which the tRNAs corresponding amino acid is attached (by aminoacyl-tRNA synthetases). tRNAs cope with the degeneracy of the genetic code in two manners: having more than one tRNA (with a specific anti-codon) for a particular amino acid; and 'wobble' base-pairing, i.e. permitting non-standard base-pairing at the 3rd anti-codon position.
Source: RNAcentral
GCCGGAGUGGUGGAAUGGCAGACGCGCCGGACUCAAAAUCCGGUAGGGGCAACCCUGUGGGGGUUCAAGUCCCCCCUCCGGCACCA